This is a long non-coding RNA of Sapajus apella (tufted capuchin), 1194 nucleotides long. RefSeq lists it as uncharacterized. The record is from RefSeq and is a predicted model, not a curated record. Lineage: Eukaryota; Metazoa; Chordata; Mammalia; Primates; Cebidae. The transcript has 3 exons.
GCCUGCGGCCGGCUGGGGCACACCUGGGGUCACCGCGCUGAGGGCCCCCCAGCCGCGCCUGGCACCCGGGCGUCUCGCUGAGUCGGAGCAGCCCCAGGGAGAGGCUUUCAGGCUCUGGUCAAGACUCGGGCCCCGGGAAGCUGUCCCUGCCCUCCGGGGCUCGCUCCGAGAGUGGGGCUGGCAGGUAACGCGGGGCAGGGGUCUCCUGGCCGUCAGUGGUCAGGAAGACGCAGCGACCCUGGAAACCCAUGCCCCCUCUGUACGGAUGACAGGUCUGAAGGUCAGAGGUUAAACUGCACGCUAAAGGCGGCAGAGCCAGGUGGAUGCCAGCCUAGGGAGCCUCCCUCUUCAGCCCAGGCUGCCCCCCGGCAAAGCCACAUCACCAGGUCAUUGCCAGAUGAACGAGGUGCUGUCGAGCUGAGAUUCGGGAGGAGCAGGAUUCAGCUGGGCAAACACUCAUUCAUUCAAUGUCAUUCGACAAAUAUUUAUUGAGCACCUACUGUGUGCCAGGUAGUCACUAAGAUGCGGGGACACCACUGUGAACAGCAGAGAGGAAGCGGCUGCCCACCAGAGCUUACUUUCUAGCAAGGGGAAGUGUCUUCUGGGUGGCAAGAUGGCUGCCUCUUCCCAAACAUCUCAUCACUAUUCUGGUCAAGAAGGGGAAGAACAAAAUGCAUACCCACACUAGCCACUAAUUAUUAUCUCCAAUGAACAGACCAAGAGAUAGAGCCCUGGAAAUUCGAAGUCACCAGCCCACCGUCACCCAGCAGAGAUGGCUGAUGAGCCCAGACCGCCAGGCUCCAGGGACUGUGCCGUCUCUAGGCAACCGCAAAAAUUACCACCCACAGAGAUGGUGAACCCUGCCAUUGUCACCAGCUUACCUGCCGCAGGCAGGAAGGGGAUGUGCAAACAUGGAAGCGUUGCCAUUGGAAGGAGGGGUGGAGCCCGUGACCAUUACUGAUGUUUAAAACUAUCGUUUAAAUUAUACUUUGGAUGUUUUUAUGUAAAGGAGGUACACCAAGGGGUUAGCAGGUGGUUUACUCUGAAAAGGACUCCCGUAGAGCAGCUGCUCUGAAUUUUCUAAUUUCACCAUAGUGGUGAUGUAUCACGUAUUCUUGUGUGAUUCGAAAAUAUUAAAAGGCAUAUAAUUAAUGUAGAAGAUGAGCCUUCGCGGAGAGACCCCUCUUGCCGGCU